UCUACGGGUGGCAGCAGUGAGGAAUAUUGGUCAAUGGACGAAAGUCUGAACCAGCCACGUAGCGUGAAGGAUGACUGCCCUCUGGGUUGUAAACUUCUUUUAUAUGGGAGUAAAAUGUUCCACGUGUGGGAUUUUGUAUGUACCAUAUGAAUAAGGAUCGGCUAACUCAGUGCCCGCAGCCGCGGUACGACGAAGGAUCCGAGCGUUAUCCGGAUUUAUUGGGUUUAAAGGGAGCGUAGGUGGAUUUAUAAGUCAGUUGUUAAAGUUUGCGGAUCAACCGUAAAAUUGCAUUGGAUACUGGCAGUCUAGAGUUCAGUAGAGGUGAGCGGAAUUCGUGGUGUAGCGGUGAAAUGCUUAGAUAUCACGAAGAACUCCGAUUGCGAAGGCAGUUCACUGGACUGCAACUGACACUGAGGCACGAAAGUGUGGGGAGCAAACAGGAUUAGAUACCCCAGUAGUC
This 460-nucleotide ribosomal RNA is filed under the name uncultured bacterium. Its description in RNAcentral is "partial 16S ribosomal RNA". It matches the Rfam family "Bacterial small subunit ribosomal RNA", at positions 338 to 795 of the family's 1533-position model. The record is from RNAcentral.